This is a long non-coding RNA of Bos taurus (domestic cattle), 1648 nucleotides long. NCBI's taxonomy places the organism in Eukaryota, Metazoa, Chordata, Mammalia, Artiodactyla, Bovidae. The record is from Ensembl.
UUUUUUUUUUUUUUUGCCAGAUCUUCCAGAAACGUUUUAAUAAAAAUUGGCCAUUUCCAAGAAAUACCCACUGCAUGCCCACCAGGGAAAGGGAACCAUAACAAAACAGAAAAUUUACCAUAUGGCUAUGAUUAAAAGAAAAAAAAAAAAAAAACCUAGCACUCACUCAAGCACACCAUCAAAGUCCAACAUUAAUGUCACAUUCUUUCUUACGGGCUAUGAUUAGGAUUCUGAAUAGACACUGAAAUAAUACAAAUGCUGAACUAUUCAGGUCAAAGGACUCUACAGAAGCAUCUGUACUCAAAGGCAUUCCAGUUUGAAACUCAAUUUCAGAAUAAGGCAUAACAAAUGAACACAAGACAUACAGAGUAAAAAAUGGGGUCAUAAUUCCCAACAUUCUCUGAACCCGAUGGAACAAAUCUAGGGGUCUUUUUUUUUUUUUUUUUCAUUAAACAAUUGCCAAGACUGGAAUCAAAGAUAAAUAGAAGGCACAACAGUUUUGCUCUGGUUUUGCGUUACUUAGAUUUGGAAAUUUUUUUUGUUCUUUUUUCUUUUUUUACAAAUACAAAUUAAACAUGAAAAAAACUCUACUUCAAAAAAGAAAAAACAGUUCAAGAAAAGCUUAUCAGUUGCAUUCUAGACAUUUAAACCUAUCUCACAACUUAAAUUCCAAUGUCAAAAACAGUAGAUUUUAGAACUGUUUUGUGAUCAUGUUUUAAAAGAAAACUCGAACACCUUUUAUUCAGUUUUUAACCACAUCAACGAGAAUCAAAAUUGUCAAUUUUUCCAAUGGCAAUUUCUCCACACCAGAAGAUAGUCAUGACUCUCAAAGAGGAAAACAAUUUGGGUUUCUCCGGUCUUCAAAAUGUUUAUCAAAUCCUGUAGUUCUCACAGGCUUUUGAAAUACAUAGAAAGUAAGUAAGAAAUAGUCCAAUGAAUGAAACAUACCAAAUGUCAGUAAGAAGCAAGACACAUUCCUUUGGGGAAACUGUUAAAAAAAAAAAAAAAAUCCAGUCUGUAUAUGCAAAUAAAGCAAAGAAAUUCAGUCUUAUUUUUCUUCUUUAAAGAUCCAUUUUUCCUAAAAUAUUCCACAAAAUUGGAAGUGAAGGACUAAAAUGUGGGGGGCAGGGGAGAGAAGGAGCACACACCAUUAACACAAAAAGUAAAACUGUACAAACUUAAGCAGUUUAUGAUAGACUAGGAUCAUAUUCCAAGAUACCAAGGUUGGCUGAAGAAAUUCAUCAUUCUGUGGGAGCUAGUUUGUACUGCUGCCUGAAGACUGGUGAAGAGCAAUUCACUGCCUUGGAGCAAUGCUCCUGCCCACUCCAAAUCCUGGUUUCUGCACCAUGCCUCCACAAGUCUUCUUUUCUUCCACAUUCAGAUGGACCUCUCCUCUGAACAUGAUGGGCCUGUUGCUAAGCACCUUCUGAACAGGCUCAGAAUCAUCAAACACAACAAACCCAAAAUUGGAUAAUUUCCCACCACUGUUAAUGCGCAGUUCUACCACAUUCCCAUAAUUUUGAAAAAAGUCUUUAAGCUCUGAUUUAUCCACCUCAUGAGGCAGGUUGCCAAUGGAGAGCUGGUGACUGUCAGGGUGUCUCACAAUUCUUUGGGGUUCCAUAUCACCUUGCUCACCAGCCUCACGGAC